RNAcentral lists this ribosomal RNA (325 nucleotides) under uncultured Anaplasma sp. Its description in RNAcentral is "bacterial SSU rRNA". It matches the Rfam family "Bacterial small subunit ribosomal RNA", at positions 933 to 1254 of the family's 1533-position model. The record is from RNAcentral. Lineage: Bacteria; Pseudomonadati; Pseudomonadota; Alphaproteobacteria; Rickettsiales; Anaplasmataceae.
UGGAGCAUGUGGUUUAAUUCGAUGCAACGCGAAGAACCUUACCACUUCUUGACAUGGAGAUUAGAUCCUUCUUAACAGAAGGGCGCAGUUCGGCUGGAUCUCGCACAGGUGCUGCAUGGCUGUCGUCAGCUCGUGUCGUGAGAUGUUGGGUUAAGUCCCGCAACGAGCGUAACCCUCAUCCUUAGUUGCCAGCGGGUUAAGCCGGGCACUUUAAGGAGACUGCCAGUGGUAAACUGGAGGAAGGUGGGGAUGAUGUCAAGUCAGCACGGCCCUUAUGGGGUGGGCUACACACGUGCUACAAUGGUGACUACAAUAGGUUGCAACG